AUACGUAGGGGGCGAGCGUUGUCCGGAAUGAUUGGGCGUAAAGGGCGCGUAGGCGGCGCGGUAAGUCUGGAGUGAAAGUCCUGCUUUCAAGGUGGGAAUUGCUUUGGAUACUGCCGCGCUUGAGUGCAGGAGAGGUUAUCGGAAUUCCCGGUGUAGCGGUGAAAUGCGUAGAGAUUGGGAGGAACACCAGUGGCGAAGGCGACUUACUGGGCCGUAACUGACGCUGAGGCGCGAAAGCGUGGGGAGCGAACAGGAUUAGAUACCCUGGUAGUCCACGCUGUAAACGAUGAAUGCUAGGUGUAGGGGGUAUCGACCCCUCCUGUGCCGGAGUAAACGCAAUAAGCAUUCCGCCUGGGGAGUACGGCCGCAAGGUUGAAACUCAAAUGAAUUGACGGGG
This 397-nucleotide ribosomal RNA is filed under the name uncultured bacterium. Its description in RNAcentral is "partial 16S ribosomal RNA". It matches the Rfam family "Bacterial small subunit ribosomal RNA", at positions 523 to 918 of the family's 1533-position model. The record is from RNAcentral.